Molecule: small RNA, 71 nt
Filed under: Sinorhizobium meliloti 2011
Lineage: Bacteria; Pseudomonadati; Pseudomonadota; Alphaproteobacteria; Hyphomicrobiales; Rhizobiaceae
Description: putative ncRNA
Source: RNAcentral
ACAAGCGGGGCGAAAAAAACGCUCAACAAAAAAGCCCGGCGGACCGGGCUUUCGUAACGUCGGGCUUUCCU